CCGAGGAGAGGGGAAGAGAGAGAGAGAUAUUUUGAGAGAGAGGGACGAAGGGGGGAGACUCUCGAAAACAUCUCUCCCCGUCGGCCUCGGCGUGUUCGCGUGUCGGUGGCGGUGGCUGGCGCAGGCAGGCAGGAGAAGAAGAGGACGACAGAGGCGGUAACGACGGCGGCGAAGGAGGAGGAUGCGACGCGAGGCCUACUCUUCGUCGCGUUGGCCCCGUCGCUGACGCGCCAGCCGGACUCCGGCCUCUCCGUCCGUCCGUCCGACGUUCGAGUCGAGUCUCCUCCGAAGUUCGUGUGUCUGACUUUCGCUCGGGGGUACCCGAGGGACCUCCGCGCCAUGGCCGGCCGGCCUCGUCGACUACUGUGUCGAUUUUCUUCCUGGGUCUUUUCAUUUUCAAAGUUUCUCCAACUUUUCAAACUACAUAAACAAGAUCUCUUUUCGAGGCCGACGUUCAAGGCUAGGAACGUUGAAAACGAGAAGCGAUAGUACAGACGACGUAAAGACUGUGAAGAUAUGUGAGGCAGACACAUGCUCGUAGUCAACGUCAGGUUAAGAGCCAAACAAUUACAACCUACCUAUACCCUAUUCUGAUAGGGACUAGGCGCUAUACAUAGAUGAUACGGGCAAGUCACCCUACUACACAUAUUUUGAUAGCUUUCAGACUUACCACCACUCGUCUUCGAGUUCUGUGACAUGGGACUUACCUAACUACUCCUCCUUCUUUGUCUCUAUGGUAGAACAGGUAGCGAAGGUCUCGGAUUAAAGGGUUCUCCCUGUGUGAAACUACAAUAACGACACUUCGAAGGGACAUGGGCUCAACCGCCCACCAGGUCUCUACAACGGGCCAACGUAGACGUCAACAGUCGUCGUUUUAACCGGCACUGGCGGCGUUCUCCGUUGGCACCCCAUGUACACUACAAACACUGCCUCACGAAGGGAGAAGGCUUAGAGAAGAGAACGUUCUUAGAAUUCUUUGUACUUCCGUUACGAACCGAUAUGUUCGGACUGAGCUUCCGUAAUUUCCUCUUCGAAUCUGAAGGCUAACCUAGAACACUCGAACGACAAGGUGAGUUUCGUUUUAGUUCUGAAAUGAGCCAUCUGGCUGCGUCUCUUCGUAUACGAUGGUAUGACGUAAGUCGUUCACUCAUACAGACACCACGUUAACGUCGUCGAGUUUCGUAAGCAGUUCGUCCUAGUUGUUCCCUGAAACAAUAAGAACAGCUGCUGUGGUAUUCACUGGUAGUGGCCUUCCCGGAACUUAGACGCCCAACCUUCCACUCUUAUUAGCUCUCCUAUGCCUUGGGUUUCCGACUCGCACUACGAAUGUUACUCACCUUGAUGUCGUUUAAGGCCAACACCGUCGAGUGCCUAAUACUGUUCUAGUAUAAGUAUCUACGACUAGACGAGUAGGACUCCUUGUAACUAAAGGACAAAUGUUACGGCCUUUAGUCACGUUGACCGUUGUUACGUUGUGAGAAGUUGAGACCACAGUACCAAUAGCUUGGAAGUUUGACGUGUAAGGUCGACAAUUACUUAGUGUAGUUGCUCUAGUGUAGAAUGUUACCACCACUAGUCCCUAUGAACUUGCUCUAUAAGUGUACCACCGUAGCCUAAGGUUUCGUGUACUUAAAGGACUUCGUAAAGACCCUCCCACUACUUCUCCUCCACUUCCGCUUCUUCUGGGUCGACAAGCCACGGUUGGGUGGCUAGGAGAUGCAGGAGGUGAUGGACCCGGCGUUCGGUACCGAUACGAAGGCCCUGAUACUGACGUUGACCUUGCAAGGCUAUGACGCCCUCAAACGGUCACUGUAGCGCGUGUGGGCCACCACCUUCCACGUACUGUUCUACGGGUUCUUCGAGGUCUCGAUGACGGAGGACUCCAGCUCCGACUUCCGUCCCGACCUCACCCUCGCCUCCGUCCGCCUCUUCCGGUUGAAGUGGCUGCCCGUGACCUUCGCCUUGUAGUGGCUGUUCUCCGAGUUCUAAACGAAGCUCUUCAAGACGAAGACCCUCUCGUACGACACCGUGACCCCGCUCCGGGGGUUGUUGCGCUGCUUCUUCCGGGGCUGCGGCCGCGACGGGCGGCGCUGGGACAGCUCGAGCACUCUACGACACAUCUAUAGGAGGGGGCGCUUUAAAAUCGUAUGGUCUACUACUAUGUCGUCUGGGGGGGUCAGAGGAGGUAAGGUAUGUUAUGUGUUAUCGCUGUCGAAACAUUUCCAUCGGUACGUACGACGAGGAUCCGGAAAGCAAGGGUUGUCGAUAUGUAAAACAAACGACGGCUACGGAGCCCGCGCGAGAGCGACGACGACGACGACGAGGUUGGCGCUGCCGAUUGCUAAAAAACCAAAGUAGUACCUACCCAUUAUUAAGCAGCGAACAUCCAUUUGAAAAGGCCCGUCCUGAACAGAUACCGACCGACACAACCACGUCACCAUCAAUCGAAAAACAUUACAUUACACACAUACCACCAACAACUUGACAACCGAGGCCACCGCAACCAGACCCCACUACGUUCCAAAUCUAACGACUGGCCGCCUGCGGCGGCGAGGAAAAACCGUGGUACCCAUUACCUUAAACCCAACCAAGUUGACGAGCC
Molecule: ribosomal RNA, 2602 nt
Filed under: Triticum aestivum (bread wheat)
Lineage: Eukaryota; Viridiplantae; Streptophyta; Magnoliopsida; Poales; Poaceae
Description: partial small subunit ribosomal RNA
Source: RNAcentral